RNA transcript from Cheilinus undulatus (humphead wrasse), 5925 nucleotides. It is a transcript of the gene named focal adhesion kinase 1-like, with no coding region annotated. Lineage: Eukaryota; Metazoa; Chordata; Actinopteri; Labriformes; Labridae. The transcript has 31 exons. The record is from RefSeq and is a predicted model, not a curated record.
GACAGAACAGGAACACGUACAGGCGUCUCUGAUUUAGCAGAGGUUCAGUUCUCUGUGAGCCUUCUGCCAACAUGCAGUUUUGGGACUUCCUGGGCUGCACAAAUAGAGAUAUUUCCAGGAUAUCAUACUACACUGAAUAUGACAGCCAGUUAGCCCCAGCCGGAGCGUCUGAGUCAGGCAUGGCGUCGUCUUCCUACCUGGAGCCCAACCACAACCACUCGGCAACGGGUGGUUGUGGGGUUAAAUCCCGCUCUGGGAUGCCCGGUGGUACCACUGUUGGUACCAGUGGCUCUGCGGGGGGCCUCGAGCGCCCCCCAGGCUCCAUGGACCGUGUCCUGAAGAUCUUCCAUUAUUUUGAGACAAACAGCGAGCCGUGCACAUGGGCGAGUAACAUCAGGCACGGAGAUGCUACAGAUGUCAGGGGUGUUAUCCAGAAGAUAGCAGAGAUCCAUAAACUACGCUGUGUGUCCUCUCUGGGGCUCCGUCUGACUCACCUGCACUCUGAUGCACUUCAUUGGUUACACCCUGAUUUGGGUGUUUCUCAUGUCAGGGAGAAAUAUGAGAAACAGCACCCCCAGGAGGAAUGGAGGUAUGAGCUGCGGAUGCGCUACCUUCCUAAAGGUUAUCUCAGCCAUUUCUCUGAAGACAAACCCUCUCUCAACUACCUCUAUCACCAGGUAAAAAGUGACUACAUGCAUCAUAUAGCUGAUCAGGUGGAUCAAGAUGUUGCUUUGAAACUGGGCUGUUUGGAAAUCAGGAGGUUUUUCAGGGAGAUGCCAGGAAAUGCUCUAGACAAGAAAUCAAAUUAUGAACUACUAGAGAAAGAUGUUGGAUUGAGAAGGUUCUUCCCUAAAAGCCUUCUAGACUCCUUAAAGGCGAAGACUCUCCGUAAGCAGAUCCAGCAGACAUUUAAGCAGUUUGCAAACCUCAAUGAUGAGCAGAGCAUCCACAAGUUCUUUGAGAUUCUCUCUCCCAUCUACCGCUUCGACAAAGAGUGCUUUAAAUGUGCUUUGGGGUCUAGUUGGGUAAUAUCAGUCGAGUUAGCUAUUGGACCAGAGGAGGGAAUCAGCUACCUCACAGAUAAGGGCUCAAUGCCCACACACUUAGCUAACUUUAACCAGGUUCAGUCUAUCCAGUACUCAGCGCUGGAGGAGAAGGACAGAAAAGGCAUGCUGCAGCUCAAUGUAGCGGGAGCUCCAGAGCCGCUCACAGUCACCACGGCGUUGCUGACAACGGCAGAAAACAUGGCUGACUUGAUUGACGGUUACUGUCGACUCGUCUCCUCAGCUACUCACUCCUUCAUCGUCAGAGUCCACAAAGAGGGUGAUAGAGCUCUGCCUUCCAUCCCCAAAGUUUCGAAUCAUGAGAGACGGAUGGAAAAACGGAUGGACGGCGUACGAACCAGAGCUGUCUGCGUCUCAGGUCACACUAGUGGCGAUGAAACAGACGACUACGCUGAGAUCAUAGAUGAGGAGGACACAUAUACCAUGCCUUCAAAAUACUAUGGACUAGAUCAAGCGCGGGACUAUGAGAUUCAGCGAGAUCGUAUUGAGUUGGGACGCUGCAUAGGCGAGGGUCAAUUUGGAGAUGUCCAUCAAGGAGUCUACAUCAGCCCGGAGAACCCAGCACUCUCUGUGGCAGUGAAGACGUGUAAGAACUCCACAUCAGACAGCGUCAGGGAAAAAUUUCUCCAAGAAGCCUUGACCAUGCGUCAGUUUGACCACCCUCACAUUGUAAAGCUGAUGGGAGUCAUCACUGAGAAUCCAGUCUGGAUCAUCAUGGAGCUCUGCACACUUGGAGAGUUACGGUCAUUUCUUCAGGUGAGGAAGUACAGUCUGGACUUGGCUACUCUCAUCUUGUACUCAUAUCAGCUCAGCACAGCUCUGGCAUAUCUGGAGAGCAAACGCUUCGUACACAGGGACAUCGCAGCAAGGAACGUGUUGGUGUCUACAGUUGACUGUGUGAAGCUCGGUGACUUUGGGUUGUCACGUUACAUGGAAGAUAGCUCUUAUUACAAAGCAUCUAAAGGUAAACUUCCAAUAAAAUGGAUGGCUCCUGAAUCCAUUAACUUCAGACGAUUCACCACAGCCAGUGAUGUCUGGAUGUUUGGUGUCUGUAUGUGGGAGAUCUUAAUGUUUGGCAUCAAGCCUUUCCAGGGAGUGAAGAACAACGAUGUCAUUGGCAGGAUAGAGAAUGGCGAGCGACUGGCCAUGCCCCCUCAGUGCCCUCCUACUCUUUACAGCCUGAUGACAAAGUGUUGGUCGUACGACCCGAGCAAGAGGCCGCGCUUCACAGAACUCAAAACACAGCUGAGCACUAUUUUAGAGGAGGAGAAGGUCCAGCAGAAGGAGAGGAACAGGAUGGAGAUGAGGAGGCAGGUCACCGUUUCCUGGGACUCAGGAGGGUCUGAUGAAGCACCGCCCAAACCCAGCAGACCAGGUUACCCAAGUCCUCGCUCCAGCGAAGGUUUUUACCCCGGUUCCCAACAUCCUGGACACUACCAGAUGGCAGGGUACCCUGGCCCUCACACCCUCCCCUCGGUGCCAAGCGCCCUAUACCCCCCACAGGCUACGAUGCUGGAGACACACCAUGCACACACGCACCCCCGCCACCAUGUCCACACACACUCGCAUGCAGCACAGCACCUUCCUCAGCCACAUGGACACGACAUGGCACUUUGGGGCUCGGCUAUGGAGGACAGGGCAGUAGACAUGCAGCAGUGUGUAGGCCCGCAGUGCCUGUUAAUGGAGGAACAGCUGAUGAUACAACAACAGCAGAUGGAGGAGGACCAGAGGUGGCUGGAAGAGGAGGAAAGGCUGCUGCUUUAUUCAGCACUAUUGGAGGACAACAGUGUAUCUUUGCAUGGGUAUGUACAGUUUCUGCAAAACCAGGAACAUUUACUGAAAAAGAUUAUUGAAACAGCUGAGACUGUGGCUUCCAUUUUUUUAAUGUUGUUAGGCAUGUGAAAGAUGGUAAAGUGAGUUGUUGUUGUUCUCUGUUGCGCUAAAUGCUGUCUUGCUUGAUUUCCAUGUUUGGAUUUUCAGUUUCACUGUUUUAUUGUUUUUGUUAACUCCAUGAUGCAUGUUGUGUUUCUAUAAUUUUGUUUUCUGAAAUUCAUCACAUACCCCAAAAAGGACAAGUGUAAUGUUAAGUUAAAAAUUCAGUGUUGCAUUGGGGCAGUGGUAGCAUAGUGGUUAUGUCUGUGUGCCCCAUGUGCGGAGGCUGUUGUCCUCUACAUGGGCAGCCUGUGUCUACUUCCCAUACACCAUUCCCCACUUUCUCAGUACAGUCUGGUUACAGACUGCCACUCUUAGACUCCUGCAUUUGCAGACCACCACUGUCAGGACAGAAAUACAUGCAACAACUUUAUAAAUAAAGUUUGAUUACACUUCUGGUGUGGUAAUGGCAGAGUGGGUUUGGAACGGCCUGAAGGACAGAAAAUGUACCUUUUUUGUAAGAUAUAUUUUUGGGCCUUUACAUCUUUAUUUAGAGAGUAGGCAGGUGGAUAGAGUCAGAUUCAUGGAUUAGAGUGGAGAAGAGACAUGCUGGUCAAGCAAGGCAGGCUGGACAUAUCGUUUAUAUUAGAAAAUUCAAGCCUUAUACACCAGAAAUAACUAACGUGACAAGACCUAAUUAACAGGGAUAUAACGGUAUCAAUAUUCAUGGUAUGAUAUUACCUUGGUAUGAAGUCCACUGUACAGUAAUUAUUGUGGUAUCUCUGGCAUGCAUUAGGCUUAAAAAUAUAUAGUUGUACUUCAGCUCCAGUGCGUUUACUAACCCUCUAAAACCUCUGUUGUCCACCACUGAAAAUAGCUGUAGGUCUUUGGUGACAUACAGUAUAUACCAGCGCACCUUGUGAUCCGUUGAGCGAUCACGCUGUUGUAGGAAAGUGGGAUUGUGCAUGCUUCUUUAAGAGUCUUUUGGCCUGGCACUGGUUAAUCUCAGGCGGUAGAGCAGGCACUCAUAUAGAGACUGUAGUCCUCAACACCUGUUUUUGGGACUUCUUCCUGCUCUCAGCGCAUGUUUGGUGCCUGUCUUCUCCCACUCUCUCUCCCCAUGUUUUCUGUCUCUCUUCUGUGGUCCUUUUAACAAUAAAGGCAAAAAGCUCAAAAUCAGAGUCUUUUGGCCUGAGCGGAAUCUGCUCCUUGUACCUUUGUGAAUCUUUUCAGGGUGAUGAUUUGCCAAGUGGCUCCUUAUGUUACUCAUAUUCCCUAUCAAACUGCACUUUAGCCCUUAAGUCCUUCUGUUUAAAACUGUCACAUGUCCACAACAAAACUGGGACGCUUCUGUCACAGCGAUACUGAUACAUCUCUACUUGUUACAAAACGUAGCUGUAGCGUAUACAGCAGCUGUCUAGUGUUCUUACAGAAAAAGCCCAUGCUCAAUGAAAACACAGCAAAUGAAGCUAAAGCUAGUAGCUUCCUGUAACUACUUCUAAAAUGGCAAUGAUAUUUACAAUCAACAUUUUUCAGGAAACAGCCCUUUUUGUGUUUUUAUUGAUCAAUUUGAUUUUAUUGUAAUAUGUUUUUAACAUUGAACCAUGGGCUGUGCCUACAUCUUUGAGCCUAGACUGUAAAUAGGAAGUGAGGUCAACGACCUUGUCAACUACCUGUUGAGGUGUCAAAUUGUAUUUUGACCAUGGCAUUUUGAUUAGUUUUAUUAAUUGAGCUGGGAGUAAUAUUAGAUCUAUUGACACUCCAAAAUUUCAGAGCAGAAAUCUGCUACAUUUGUUAAGCUUUUACUUAGAAAACAGCUUUAUUUUAAAGGGAUGUAAGUGACUUUAACUCUGAAUUGCCUUUCUCCAGAUGUGAUUCACAUACUGUUUGCUAAAUCUGUACUUAUGAAGGAACCUACUUAACCCAAAAUAUAGUGAUUUUGUUUUGUGCUCUCUACUUUCUAUCAGUGUAUCAUCCAAUUCUCCUGUUCAUUUCACCAAAGUGGGAGUUUUUCAGCCUUAAAUUCAUAAUGGCUGACUCAGAAUUGUAGGGCAACUUUUAUUUAUAACAGAAUGAUGGAUUCAUAGAGGGUUUGUUGUUAUGAAGUGUAAAAUGAGAGAUUCAGAGACUCUGUUAGAUAACUACCAGGGGGAAAGAGGGGAGGAACUUUUCAUGUAGGAUGCAUAUUUCUGUGAACUCUGAUUGAGGGAGCUGUCUGGGGUCUGCUCAAGAAUUUUAUUGUGCAUGCCUGUGUGAGCAUGUGUGUGUGUUUUAGUGUGUAAGAGAGAGGGAUUUUGUAGGCAGGUGUGGUCUAUGUGAAUUCCAGGCUAAUGAUAGGCUUAGAGACUCUGACAGCCCAGUCAACAGUCUGUCUUUGACCCACAACCACUAACUGACAACACACAAGAUUACUGAAAAGCUAGGGAGGCAAAAUGUGUUUGAGAGGGUGUGUGUGUUAUAGGCUGCCUUUUUCUAUAAAACUGUCACUUCAGGGAGGGGUAAAAAAGGGAGGAGAGAGAAAUAAUGGUUUGGGAAAGACGGGAAGACAUGCUCGCACACUGACAGCUCCUUGGCUGUGUGCUCCAUCCCUCCUCCUUCUCCUCCUUCUCUCCGUCCCUCAUUUGGUGCGUCAGAGUCAGAUAUAAAUGAGCUGGAGGCAGGAGGCUGGGGCUGAAUCUGAAUUUUUGUCUUGAUGAAAGCUUUGGCACAGACAGGGAAACAGGCUGGUAGACAGACAGGAAGCACAAGAAGAAGAUAAAUCUGGAGAGAGAAAUAUAAACCGACACAACACUUGAAGCAACUUGGAGAUUAAAAAUAAGUUUUAUUGAGAAAACUUUGAUGAACCCAAUGGCAAUGCUGGUCUUCAAGUCCUGUCUUGGAAAACUGAAACCAGACUCGAGAAGUUCUAGAGGGAGUCUGGACAGAGACGAUGGUGGACUCCAACCACCGGCGGGAAACCAGCACAUAUACCAACCCGUUGGCAAAGCAG